Molecule: ribosomal RNA, 261 nt
Filed under: uncultured archaeon
Lineage: Archaea
Description: partial 16S ribosomal RNA
Rfam family: Archaeal small subunit ribosomal RNA
Source: RNAcentral
CAGCCGUAAACUAUGCGCGUUAGGUGUACUGGUGACCACGAGUCACCGGGGUGCCGAAGGGAAACCGUGAAACGUGCCGCCUGGGAAGUACGGUCGCAAGGCUGAAACUUAAAGGAAUUGGCGGGGGAGCACCACAACAGGUGGAGCCUGCGGUUUAAUUGGAUUCAACGCCGGACAUCUCACCAGCAGCGACUGUUACAUGAAAGUCAGGUUGAUGACCUUACUAGAUUUUCAGAGAGGUGGUGCAUGGCGUCAGUGACU